GACGAACGCUGGCGGCGUGCUUAACACAUGCAAGUCGAACGGAAAGGCCCUGCUUUUGUGGGGUGCUCGAGUGGCGAACGGGUGAGUAACACGUGAGUAACCUGCCCUUGACUUUGGGAUAACUUCAGGAAACUGGGGCUAAUACCGGAUAGGAGCUCCUGCUGCAUGGUGGGGGUUGGAAAGUUUCGGCGGAUGGGGAUGGACUCGCGGCUUAUCAGCUUGUUGGUGGGGUAGUGGCUUACCAAGGCUUUGACGGGUAGCCGGCCUGAGAGGGUGACCGGCCACAUUGGGACUGAGGUACGGCCCAGACUCCUACGGUAGGCAGCAGUGGGGAAGAUUGCACAAUGGGCGGAAGCCUGAUGCAGCAACGCCGCGUGCGGGAUGACGGCCUUCGGGUUGUAAACCGCUUUCGCCUGUGACGAAGCGUGAGUGACGGUAAUGGGUAAAGAAGCACCGGCUAACUACGUG
This 468-nucleotide ribosomal RNA is filed under the name uncultured bacterium. RNAcentral's name for it is "partial 16S ribosomal RNA". It matches the Rfam family "Bacterial small subunit ribosomal RNA", at positions 28 to 507 of the family's 1533-position model. The record is from RNAcentral.